AUUGAACGCUGGCGGCAUGCUUUACACAUGCAAGUCGAACGGUAACAGGUUAAGCUGACGAGUGGCGAACGGGUGAGUAAUGCAUCGGAACGUGCCCGGUCGUGGGGGAUAACGCAGCGAAAGCUGCGCUAAUACCGCAUACGAUCUGAGGAUGAAAGCGGGGGACCGUAAGGCCUCGCGCGAUCGGAGCGGCCGAUGUCAGAUUAGGUAGUUGGUGGGGUAAAGGCUCACCAAGCCGACGAUCCGUAGCUGGUCUGAGAGGACGACAAGCCACACUGGGACGGAGACACGGCCCAGACUCCUACGGGAGGCAGCAGUGGGGAAUUUUGGACAAUGGGCGCAAGCCUGAUCCAGCAAUGCCGCGUGCAGGAAGAAGGCCUUCGGGUUGUAAACUGCUUUUGUACGGAGCGAAAAGGCUCUCUCUAAUACAGGGGGCUCAUGACGGCACCGUAAGAAUAAGCACCGGCUAACUACGUGCCAGCCGCCGCGGUAA
Molecule: ribosomal RNA, 493 nt
Filed under: uncultured bacterium
Lineage: Bacteria
Description: partial 16S ribosomal RNA
Rfam family: Bacterial small subunit ribosomal RNA
Source: RNAcentral